UGCACCAUUUUUGUAUCGCCAUUUUUUCUCUCUCCUCACGCUAUAUGUAAUCUCAGCACUUUUUGCUGUAAUCAGUGAGGAGGAAUCGAGAAUUUCUAGGGUUUCGGUUUUGAUUUUGAUUUUUCACGUAUUUGGGUGUGGUGCAGUGUGUGUAAAAUAUCUAGGGUUUUCAUUGUGCCCUAAGUCAUCGUCGGCGUCGAAUUUCUGAGAAAAAAUGGCUGGAAAAAACGUGAUCUCCGAUGACGAAGAUGAAGUCGGAAUGGAGGAAGAGGAGAGGGAUGAUGAGCCAGUUGAUGGGGAUGGAGUGGAUGAGCGGGAAGACGAGGAUGAAGACGAGGAAGAAGAAGAAGGUCAGGAUGAAUAUGAGAAAGAUGGGUUUAUAGUGGAUGAUGUAGAGGAAGAAGAGGAUGAGGAUGAAGAUGAUAGAGCUGACAGUGAUGAUGAGAGGCAAAAGAAGAAGAAAAGGAAGAAAAGGGAGUCAGAGAGGAAUUACGUGCUUGAUGAAGAUGAUUAUGAACUUCUACAGGAAAGCAAUAUUGCGGUGCCUCGUCCAAAACUUGAGAGCAAAAAGUUCAAGCGGCUAAAAAAAGCUCAGAGGGAUAUGGAGGAUGAGGGUUCUGUUUUUUAUGAGGAGGAGGAGUUUGGUGAAACUGGCAGGCGAGGGCGUACAGCUGAGCAGAAGCUUGAGCGUAGCUUAUUUGGUGAUGAUGAAGGGCAACCACUUGAGGAUAUUGCUGAGGAGGAAGAAAGGCUGGAGGAAGAAGAGGAUGCUGACAUUGGUGAGGAAGAUGAAAUGGCAGACUUCAUCGUUGAUGAAGAAGAAGUUGAUGAACAUGGUGCUCCUAUUAGAAGGAAAAAGGUAAACAAAAAGAAGUCCAGGCAGGCAGCAGGAGUUUCGUCCUCUGCUCUCCAGGAAGCCCAUGACAUAUUUGGUGAUGUUGACGAACUUUUAAUGCGUCGAAAACAAGAUCGGGCCAAAUCCAGCAUGCAUGUUGAAUCCGGUGAAUGGAGUGAAAGGAGACUUGAAGACGAAUUUGAUCCUACUAUUCUAGCUGAGAAAUAUAUGACUGAGAAGGAUGAGCACAUUCGGAAAAUAGAUGUCCCUGAAAGAAUGCAGAUAUCCGAGGAAAGCACUGGUCCUGUAACACCUGAAACCAUCAGUAUGGAAGAGAGUAUCUGGAUCUACAAUCAGCUUGUUGCUGGUGUUGUGCCUCUUUUUAAGAAGAAAGAUGGUGGUACAUCUGAUGAAGAGAAAGAGCUACCAAUAGAUAAAGAUGACAUUAUGCGUUUUCUGGAUUUGAUGCAUGCGCAGAAGUUCGAUGUCCCGUUCAUUGCCAUGUACCGCAAGGAGGAAUGCAUGAGCUUAUUUAAGGACCCAGAAGAGGACGGAACUAGUGAUGAUGGUCCUAAAAAUUCUGACAAAAAACCUUCAGUAAGAUGGCAUAAGGUGCUUUGGGCAAUCCAAGAUUUAGACAGGAAGUGGCGCCUCCUUCAGAAGCGGAAGUCUGCACUUGAGUUGUACUAUAAGAAGCGUUUUCAGGAAGAGUCGCGUAGGGUGUAUGAUGAAACACGUCUAAAGUUGAAUCAGCAGCUCUUUGAAUCCAUUACUAAUUCACUCCAAGCGUCUGAGUCUGAAAGAGAGGUUGACGAUGUUGACUCAAAAUUUAACUUGCACUUCCCACCUGGAGAGGUCGGUGUGGAUGAAGGACAAUAUAAGAGGCCAAAAAGGAAAUCACAAUACAGUAUAUGCAGCAAAUCCGGCUUAUGGGAAGUGGCGAGCAAGUUGGGAUACAGCGCCGAGCAAUUUGGUAGACAUAUGUCUCUAGAAAAAAUGGGGGAUGAGCUGGAGGAUGCUAGGGAACCUCCAGAAGAGAUGGCAUCGAACUUCACCUGUGCAAUGUUUGAAACACCUCAAGCUGUGCUUAAAGGCGCUAGACACAUGGCAGCAGUAGAGAUCAGCUGUGAACCAAGUGUCCGUAAACAUGUGCGUACUACCUAUAUGAACCACGCCGUAGUAUCAACGAGUCCUACUCCUGAGGGGAAUACGGUGAUUGAUUCCUUCCAUCAAUUUGCUGGAGUCAAGUGGUUACGGGAUAAACCUCUCUCCGAAUUUGUGGAUGCACAGUGGCUUCUCAUCCAGAAGGCUGAAGAGGAGAAACUCCUCCAAGUUACUAUCAAGCUGCCUGAAGUUCAUCUUAACCAGCUGACAACUGACUCGAAAGAUCAUUAUCUCAGUGACGGUGUGAGUAAAUCUGCCCAGUUAUGGAACGAACAGAGAAAGUUAAUACUCGAGGAUGCAAUCUUCAAUUUUCUUCUGCCUUCAAUGGAAAAGGAAGCAAGAUCCUUGCUAACAAGUAAAGCAAAGAGUUGUCUUCUCAUGGAAUAUGGUAAUGUUUUGUGGAAUAAAGUGUCAGUUGGACCAUAUCAACGCAGAGAGAAUGAUAUUAGCUCUGAUGAAGAGCCUGCACCCAGGGUCAUGGCUUGUUGUUGGGGCCAUGGUAAGCCAGCAACCACUUUUGUGAUGUUGGAUUCGUCGGGAGAGGUUUUGGAUAUUCUGUAUGCUGGAUCUCUUAGCCUUCGUGGCCAGAAUGUUAAUGAUGAGCAGCGGAAGAAGAAUGAUCAGCAGCGACUGUUAAAAUUCAUGAUGGACCACCAACCACAUGUGGUGGUGCUGGGAGCUGUAAAUUUGUCUUGUACACGGCUUAAGGAGGAUAUUUAUGAGAUUAUUUUCAAGAUGGUGGAGGAUAAUCCAAGAGAUGUUGGUCAUGAGAUGGAUAAUCUGAACAUAAUAUAUGGAGACGAAUCCCUUCCGCAUCUCUAUGAGAAUUCCCGCAUUUCUGCUGACCAGCUUCCUACGCAGUCAGGUAUUGUGAGGCGCGCUGUGGCAUUGGGACGUUAUCUUCAAAAUCCUCUAGCAAUGGUAGCAACAUUAUGUGGACCAGGGAGGGAAAUUUUAUCUUGGAAGCUGAAUACUUUAGAGAGCUUUCUCACACCAGACGAGAAGUAUGAGGUGGUUGAGCAGGUUAUGGUGGAUGUAACUAACCAGGUGGGUGUUGAUCUUAAUUUGGCUAUAAGUCAUGAAUGGCUUUUUGCCCCACUGCAAUUUAUUUCGGGGCUGGGUCCCAGAAAGGCAGCAUCUCUUCAAAGAUCCAUGGUAAGACAGCAGACAAUCUUUACGAGGAAGGAUCUCUUAACUGAACAUCAUCUUGGUAAAAAGGUAUUUAUCAAUGCAGUUGGCUUCUUGCGAGUACGGCGCAGUGGAUACACUGCAAAUAGCAAUACAUAUAUUGAUUUGUUGGAUGAUACAAGGAUCCAUCCAGAAUCCUAUACUCUUGCACAAGAGUUGGCAAAAGAUAUUUAUCUUAAAGACAUGGGUGAAGAAGCUAAUGAUGAUGAUGAAGUGCUUGAAAUGGCAAUAGAGCAUGUUAAAGAGAAGCCACAUUUGUUGAGGUUGGUUAAUGCUUAUGAAUAUGCUAAUGAACAUAACCGUUUUGAUAAAAGGGAAACCCUUAAUGGUAUUAAGUUGGAGCUAAUGCAAGGGUUUCAAGAUUGGCGUAGACAGUAUGUCGAGCCAAGCCAGGAUGAAGAGUUCUAUAUGAUUUCUGGUGAGUCUGAGGAUACGCUUUCUGAGGGAAGAAUCGUGCAGGCAACAGUUCGUCGGGUUCAACCUCAGAAAGCUAUCUGUUCUUUGGAGUGUGGAUUGACUGGUAUUCUUUCCAAGGAAGACUCUUCAGAUGAUUGGAGAGAUGUCAAUGAUUUGACUGAAAAAAUGCGUGAAGGUGAUAUCCUAACUUGCAGAAUCAAGUCAAUCCAAAAAAAUAGGUACCAGGUUUUCCUGAGUUGUAAAGAGAAUGAUAUGAGAAAUAAUAGGUAUCAGAAUAAUCAGAACUUGGAUCCAUACUACCAUGAAGAUCGCACUAGCUUACAGACUGAAAAGGAAAAAGCUCGUAAAGAAAAGGAGCUUGCAAAGAAGCAUUUCAAGCCAAGGAUGAUAGUUCAUCCUCGAUUCAAAAAUAUAACAGCUGAUGAAGCUAUGGAGUUCCUCUCUGACAAAGAACCGGGUGAAAGCAUUGUACGUCCCAGCUCACGUGGACCAUCAUAUUUGACUUUAACUCUCAAAGUGUAUGAUGGAGUGUAUGCUCACAAGGAUAUUGUGGAAGGUGGAAAGGAACAUAAGGAUAUAACAAGCUUGCUGCGCAUCGGGAAAACACUGAAAAUAGGAAAGGAACAUAAGGAUAUAACAAGCUUGCUGCGCAUCGGGAAAACACUGAAAAUAGGAGAGGAUACUUUUGAAGAUUUAGAUGAGGUAAUGGAUCGGUAUGUUGAUCCAUUAGUAGCUCAUUUGAAGGCAAUGCUAAAUUACCGUAAGUUUAAGACGGGAACAAAGGCAGAAGUUGAUGAGCUUUUGAAAAUUGAGAAAUCUGAGUACCCUAUGAGGAUUGUCUAUAGCUUUGGUAUUUCUCAUGAACACCCCGGGACAUUCAUUUUGACUUAUAUACGAAGUUCCAACCCACACCAUGAGUAUGUUGGUUUGUACCCGAAAGGAUUUAAAUUCCGUAAGAGGAUGUUUGAAGAAAUUGAUCGCCUUGUGGCAUAUUUUCAAAGGCAUAUUGAUGAUCCCCAUGAUUCCGGUCCAUCAAUACGAUCAGUUGCAGCAAUGGUGCCUAUGCGCAGCCCUGCAAGUGGGGGUUCCUCAGGAUUUGGUAGCGGGUGGGGUGGUUCAUCCAAUGAUAGUGGUCGAAGAGGUGGUCAGUCUGGGGACAGAGAUAGGUCUUACGGUUCAGGUUCUAGAGCAGGUAGAAAUGACUACAGAAAUCGAAACAAUCAGGAUGAUCAAAGUGGAUUGCCACCAAGGCCCUACGGUGGUGGUGGUCGGGGACAUGGUCGUGGUCGGGGACGUGGUAGAGGAAAUAAUGAUAAUAAUGACGGACAGGAUUCGGAUUAUGGCUCUCAAAAGUGGAGUUCUAAGGAAGGUGGAGGAGGAGGUUGGGGUGAAAACCAAAAUUCACCUGCCAGGGAGUCUUGGGGUGGUGGUGCUGGAGGUGGUAGUGGAGACGGAGGUAGUUGGGGUGCCAGUCCUAGUGGUGGUUGGGGUGCUAGCCCUAGUGGUGGCGACAGCUGGGGAAAGGACACUGGUGGUGAGGCCGAGGAUUCUGGGUGGGGUGGCAGUAAAAAGUCCGGUGGCAGCGGAGGGUGGUGAUCAUGUAAUGGCUUUUGGAUAUACUACCAGUCUUGGCUUGUUUUCUUUGGCAAGCAUAGAUAGUUCAAACUUGCAUCCUUUUAACUGAAUUUGUUAAGCACUAUCUAUUAUCAUCUCUGUUUUACCUAUUCCCUCGCGAAAUUUUAGUGCAUCGGGUUGCCCUGCUUGUUAUACCUAUGUUUUG
RNAcentral lists this unclassified non-coding RNA (5384 nucleotides) under Hevea brasiliensis (rubber tree). The record is from RNAcentral. Lineage: Eukaryota; Viridiplantae; Streptophyta; Magnoliopsida; Malpighiales; Euphorbiaceae.